UCUUCGAUUUAUCACACUUAUUUAACAUAAUUGUUUUAAUUUAUUUCCUGAUUCUUUGUUGGAUAAUACUAUUUGCAGAUUCCGUGAUUCAUGGGUUUACUCCCGUCGGACAUGCUAAUCAUUACAUGCCAUCUUUGAAAGCAGAUUCCAUUGUGAAAGUCGAUCGUUUUGAAGUUUCUAGGUGCUCCAAGUGAUUGCGAACACAAACCUAGAAAUUGGUAAACAUAGCAUAUUUGGCAGCUCCAAGCAACAUUACAAUCAGGCAAAUUCAAGUGGAAUGACAUACCAACAACUGAAACUGGUAAUUAGUCAACAACUUAUCCCAUAUUUUCCUUAUCUGAAAAAAUCUACUGUGUUUCUGAUCUAUUUUUUCAUCUACGCAACUUUAGCCUCUGUCAUGGAUAGCUCUCUCCCAAGAAUUGCAUUGACUAUGGUUUCUGGGAAGAAAAAGAUCUUGCUCCUGAAAAAAGACCGUGACAACCCUGUUGUAAGAUUUUAGUUUGUGCAGAAUAAAAAACCUUGAUUUAUUUUCUAUUUAGUAUAGUGAUAGUUGUUGACAAUCAUUAGUUAUUUGGCAAUAUGUUUUUUAUGCGGCAUUUCAGAACUCUCCAUUCCAAGCGGAACAGCAGAUGAAAGCUAAUUUUUCUGGAAGCUCAUCGACUUCAAGACAGAAUCAGAAGAUAGAUGUUGGUGGGAGGUUAAUCAAGGGAAUACUUCAGAGAAGUGAGACGGCCUAGCCAGACUUCAUCUUUUGUACAGCCUGAGCAAAGAGUGGAACCCACAAAACACGAGAGAAGAAAAAACAAAACACGAAAUUAACAAAUUCAGAUCUUCUCUCUUGCAUGUCUAACAUCUGGCGCCGACGAAACUCAACACCCACGGCAGACGAAGCUGAUGCAAGUAAACCUCUCAUCAAUCAUGCUUAAAAUCAAUCUACGCUUUUCAAUCUCACAAACUAAGAAACAAUUUUACCUACAUGAAUCGGGAAAUUAGUGCCCACAUUCCCGAUAUAGAGAAAAAAAGGAGUUGAAAUCCUAACAGUUUUUUCAGUAUUAGACUAAACCACAGAUUCAAGGUCCAGUUAUUUUGAAACCCUAGCAUUUUAAAUCUAAAUUUAUUAUCUUUUUCCAUGCACUAUUUGAUUUAUAUACAAACAACUACCUAAGUAAACACUAACAAGUUCCAUCACCCUCAACUUUGAACAUAUAAGAUAUAAAAAUAUCAACAUAUGACUUCAUCGUUCAUUCUUAUAUCAAACUCAUCAACUUAUGUAAUAUCCAAAGUCCCAUCAAUCACAUUAUAGAUAAAAAACAAUAAAAUCCCGUAAACAAAACUAUACAAUACACCUAUAAUGUAGCCGACCCCGCGCUUGCGCGGGGACUAUGCACCUAGUAAUAACAAUACUUAAAGGGAGAUAUGCUCAAAGGAGAUACGUGCCACGUCCUAAAAAAAAUCAACCAAUUAGAUGCCCCUAUUUUGCCACGUUACAUCCUCUUUAUCGACAUGGGCCAAGUGUUUUGAUCUUCUAAAAUUUGGAGGUGGCCCGUUUGAGACCCAUGUUACACUUUUCGACGAAACCCACGCUUUCCUUCUUCAGUCAAUAGUCUCUUACUAUUCCUCUCCAUAGCCAUUGUUCCAUUUUCUCCAAAUCUCCAUUACUUUGCAGUAGCUAUCCACUCUAAAAUCAUUGAUUCUGCUCUUUACACAUUCUUACAAGAUGUAUCAUUUCACCUCCUUUUGUUUUCCUCAUGUAUGAUCUAUUUCUCGAUUCUUAUAUAUACCGCAAUCUACGACUUAUUCAGUCGAAGAUCAAGCUAUGUCCAUGAGAUCUGCUAAGCUGUGUAUUUAACCAACAUCUCCGCGGGUACAGCGGAAUCAGAACUAGGCUUCCGGUUAAUCCGUUUCUGGGAGACGAUAAGCACAAACAGCUAAAGGUGGUUUGCUUAUAGGCUUGGAGCUUCUCCUUACAGGCAAGCAGGUAUCAGAUUCUUUACUUCUUCUUCUAUUGAUCCAAAUCAAUCUAGGUCACAACUUCUUGAUUUCUUGAUUACUUCUUAAUCUUCUUCGCAGAAAUGGCUACGCGCAACUUGAAACCUACCGCAUCAAUACCACAACGAGUUUACUUCGAGGCUUUUUGGUUUUCAAAUCCACCGGAUUGGUCAUCAGACUCUACCUUCUUCUCAUUGAUGAAAAUUUAUUGGUUCAUAUUUUUCUCCUGUUCUUAGUGGUUUGUAAAUUUGUCGUUUCAUCGCUCUAAUGUCACAAAGAAACUAUUCGAAUUUACAUUUCUUGCCACUACUCACAGGUUUCGCAGCAGCAACAGUUGUCUUCUUUUUCAAAAAAAAAACAGCUGUGAUCAAGUCAAUUUUUUCAGGCAUCCAGAUGAUUAUUAACAAAAAAAUUUGUUUGAGCUGGAAUCUGAAGUUCGUGUCCUGGAAAGCCUCUGGCAGCUGCUGAAACUGGGGUGAAACUCUGAACACCUGAAGAGGGCGAUUUAUGUAAGCGAUGCAACUGCAAAAAGUCGCAUUUGAAUCUGUUUGUUGCUGAGUUUAUUGCAUAUAUCAUCCAUUUUCAUGUGUGGAUUCUUUCAACAAACCAUCAUUAAGACGCUGUCUUGGCUACCCGCAGACAGAUUGAGAAUUCAGAGAUCAUGUGGAGAGAUCCCAGAGCUUUUUACACUGAUUUCUAUCAUGGCCGCUGGAACUGGAAGCACUGCUCUUUUCACUGUGAUUUGUAUCUUUGCUUCAAGGCGUGUUCCCUUUUGCACAAACAAGUUCUUCAACACUGGACUUGGUUUCAGUUUGGUCAUACUGCUUUGGGCUGUGGAUAGACUCGGGAGGUGAUUACUUAGCGCAUACUUCUUCCAUGGGUUGUGGCUUCUAAGUUGGCAACAAGAACAAGAGUAAUCUCUGAGGAAGCAAAAGCCACGACCUCUUUAUAUUCUUAUAGGAAACAUCUUUGCUCCUAUGUAAACUAUAUAUGUUUCUCCAAUGACCUGAAGAAUAUAUAAAUUGGUUUUUGUUUGUGUGAUCAGGAACAAACAAAUUUUUGGAAUAUAAAGCAUGUUACCGAAGACUUAUUCUUUUUA
Long non-coding RNA from Brassica napus (rape), 3088 nucleotides. RefSeq lists it as uncharacterized. Lineage: Eukaryota; Viridiplantae; Streptophyta; Magnoliopsida; Brassicales; Brassicaceae. The record is from RefSeq and is a predicted model, not a curated record. The transcript has 4 exons.